This is an RNA transcript of Oncorhynchus gorbuscha (pink salmon), 2173 nucleotides long. It is a transcript of the gene named XK-related protein 9-like, with no coding region annotated. NCBI's taxonomy places the organism in Eukaryota, Metazoa, Chordata, Actinopteri, Salmoniformes, Salmonidae. The record is from RefSeq and is a predicted model, not a curated record. The transcript is spliced from 6 exons.
CGAUGAGAGAAGAGAAGGCAAAGGGUAAUGUGAAAUCAGAGAAACAGGACACAUCAUCCGAGCUCAAGUACAGUCACGGCAAUGGUAAUGAGAUGUUCUCAAACGUUCUCGUGGACUGUAUAAUCUCGGAAAUCCCAGACCUGACGGACAGUGUUGAUCAUAUGGGAGGCAGGCAACUUCGCGUGAUUAAAGGACAAACCAUUCCUCCCCAUAGCAACUAUGCAAAUAAGUAAUUCCAGAACCAACAACUCCCCCCCCCCCAAAAAAAAACAAGCUCAAUCAAUCACUCAGAAGAUUUACAUUGACAGAAUUUUUACUUUCGUCAUUGACUUAGCGGUCUUAUUUGCCAUUGAGUGAAAACUGAGCAGCAAAACAUGCUUCAAACAGACUCGGAGUUCACUAAAACGCGAUGGAUCUGUACCGUCAUCGGACUGGGCUUUUACCUGGUGGACAUUGUGACAGAUGUUGGACUAGCAGUGAAUUACUUCCUGGUCGGAGACCUGGUCUGGGCUGGACUGACUCUGCUCUCUGUGGCGGUCGCAUCGGCAGCCACACAGGUCUUCAGCUACACCUGGUACAGAGAUGACAUGAGAAAACCCCUUGUUAACCCAGGUGGAGAUGGGCUGAUAUGUGAGAUGAAUAGAGGAGGACUGAUUGGACUCCAUGUCAUGCAGACAGGCAUCUUCACCAGGUACUACGACCUGUUAAAGGUGGGAUACAGGGCUAUGUUUUCCAAGCCUCUUGGGCCUGUUGAAUGCCCCAGAGAUGUGCACCUGGCCCUGUUUGGCCGAGCGACUGAUCUGAGCAUGCUCAAACUGUUUGAGACGUUCCUUGAGAGCGUUCCACAGCUAGUCCUCCAACUCUACAUUAUGCUGGGCCACGGACACAGGUCCAUACUACAAUGCAUCUGCAUGGUGGGCUCAUUCAUCAACAUCGCCUGGGCUAUAGUGGACUACCGCCGGUGUCUCCGUCGAUCCUUACCCCAGGUCCGAGAGAUGCCUUCUGGCCUCCCUACCUUUGUCUACCUCCUAUACAAGCUGUUGACCAUCACCGCUCACAUCCUCAGCCUCAGCCUCUUCCUCGUCCUCAGCCCCUACAGUACCCUGGGAAUGGCUGUCGUCUGGCUGGCUGGAACCCUCUGGGCCCAUUGGGUCCGUACUGAUUUCUGCAUGUCUAAAGGUCUAGAGAGGCUCUAUCGGAUCAUCGUGGGAGUCGUCCUCAUAUUCACCUUCUUUAACGUGAAAGGACAGGAUACCAGAUGGCCGAUGGCUGUGUACUACGUUCUCUUUGCGUUAGUGAACCUCUCUGGUCCUUUGCUGCUGGUUCUGGUGAGGCCAGAGGUUAACGCUGCUGAGUACUUCUGGCCGGUGACACUGCUGAUAUUUGGAGGGACCGUUCUAGGGCUGGUCUGUCUGCUCCUGUAUUAUACUGUCUGCCACCCCAGAGGGAGGAGUCUACAGGCAGAUGAGCUGGAUGGACACAUGCGACAGGAGAGAGAAACAGAGACGCCAGGCAACAUGGUGAGAGGUAGGAACUUCCUACAGCUCUGAGCCUCGUUUCCUGCACCACUCUGAAAGACCUGAAUGACCUGAAUGACCUGAAUGACCUGAAUGACCUGAAUGACCUGAAUGACCUGAAUGACCUGAAUGACCUGAAUGACCUGAAUGACCUGAAUGACCUGAAUGACCUGAACAGUUAAAAAGGAGUCUGAUGUUUGACCUUUCAGGUCUGGUCCCUUCAGCUGAGAUGAAGGAGAGGACAUAAGGGAGUCACUUCACGCUAGUGAAACACAGCCCCUAUCUGUGGAUUCAGGAUGUGCAAUGCAAAACAGAGAACACAAGGUGGCACUGUUGUCUCUCUUUACAGGCUAUGGCCAUCUAGCAUUUUAGAGUAAAGUGAAGAAGAAAGACGUUGCUAUGGACGUUGCCGUUGCUAUGAUGACGUUACUAUGGACAUUCUCUUUGAUAUGUUAAAGACUCUUUUACUGACCUGCCAAUAACUGAAAUAUGUUUAAUUUAUUUUAAUCUCUGACACACUUUCCACUGUUUCUGAUAGUUUAACUGUCUUUUAACCUCUUAUAAGUAUUCUGAUGUUCUGUGUAAUAUUUACUAUCUGUGAAUGCACUUUAAAACUUUAAAAUAUAAUAUAUUUAAUAAAUAAAAAUGUAGCAUAA